Long non-coding RNA from Oxyura jamaicensis (ruddy duck), 2670 nucleotides. RefSeq lists it as uncharacterized. The transcript has 3 exons. Lineage: Eukaryota; Metazoa; Chordata; Aves; Anseriformes; Anatidae. The record is from RefSeq and is a predicted model, not a curated record.
AUAACUUAUUUAUAUACAGGUAUAUAUCACACAACAAGAAUAUGGGGGAUUUUCUGGACCUAACAGUAUUCUUGCAAGACUUCCACUGAGGAGGUAGAAAGAAAUCCUCACCAAAAGAAGCUCUGAAUGAACUUUAGAAAAAAAAGUCCAAACACAUUUGAUGUUCCUCUUGAAACACGUUUCUGCCUGUGGUGAGCACACUUCAUUACCCUUGUUGUGCCACUUCAUAACUUCUUGUUAACUUUUUAUAUUUUACCUGCUAGUCCAGUUCAGUGUUUUUUAUUGCCUAGUUUUCAGCCACUACCCUUCUCCAGUUCUCACUCUUUCUAGCUUGCAUGCAGACACCAUCUGGCUUUACCCCCGGGGUUUCCUAGACAAGGGCAAUCUAGUUAGCCUUGUGAAAUCCAAACCCCAGGCAAAACAAAAACUGCACAAAACCUCACAAGAUAGGUUUUCUCACUUCUGUGUGAGAAGCAUUCACAUUACCCAGAGCAACUGUAAGAACAGAAAACACAUCUUGAACAGUGAGUUAUCUCUCAACCAACCUACUCUUUCCCCCAGAUUUUUGUCUUGCAAUUUACUGGAGUUAGCACAACCCUUUUCCAGUCAAGAGAAAGUUUGACCAGUGUGUGUGUAAUUAUGGAGUGUCAGAGUAGAAUAUCUUGUACGGAACUGUCUAUAAAGAAGCUUGGAAUAAAGUAGAUUGAGAACAGAUUUAGUAAAGAAAUCAGGAAGUCAUUCCAGUGUUCUUUUCUUUUCUAAAUAACAUAUUGCAAAUAAAAUCUCUGAGGCAAAAUUCUGGACAAAGACAUUCCUUUGAAAAGAGACCACAAGAUUCCUGGUCUUCUUAAUGGAUAAAACAGAAAGAAUUGGUCUCAGUCUGGGACAGUCAAAAUGCUGAUCCUUUUGAACAAUUUGGACAAGUACAGAAUAUUGUCCAAUGUAUUCAUCCUUGAGCAGAAAUAAACUAAAUUUCUGUGUGCUCUGCCUGUCUCAUAGGAGCUGAAAAGAACCCCUCCCUUUCUUUUUUAUGUUUGCAUGUUUCCAAAGUUUCCAGAGGAAUUCACUUGGGCAAGGCAUUUCAAGCUGUAUAUCUGAUUUCCCCUAAGUGAUCUAGAUGAUCUAGUUGCAAAGUUCAGAGGUUUGGAGCUAGAGAUUCUUUUAUUUAUGGCUUUAGGAAUCUGAAGUCAGUAGGGAACUAGGUACCUAUGGAGGUGUAAUUCCCUAGUGUUGGUCACAGAGUGAGGACUGAGGUGAGUUCACAACAAUGCAUGCUUCCCAGCUUCUGAACUAUAAACACUUGACUUUUAUUUUUCAUCAAGUUUGUUAUAUUUUGCUGUCUCUUCUGACUUCAUAGUUACUCGUUUGUUUUCACAAGAAUGACAAAUAUCAUGACCCUCCUCUGACAGCACAGUUGCAGUGAAAUGAGGACGAACAAGUUUUCUUCUGGUCUAUGCUAUGAAAAGAAUGAUGAAGGAAUCAAGACUGAGCCAAGGAAACUGUGUAAAAUCAGCUCCCUCCCACCCCAAUCAGAAAAUUGUAUCCAGCAAAAGGGCAUUCUUUGAUUGCUUAAUAUGAAGAUGCACAAAUCUCUGCCCUCAUCCAGCAGUGUCUACUCCUGAGAAUUCACAACCAUCCUAUGGUGCAUCUGUUGGCCCUUUGUCUUUGUUAUCUCUGAGUUCUCAUGAAUUUUCAGCAAUGAGUCCAUCUGGGAAUAAUUUCAUUGUGAGAAGAAGGCUUCCAUUCUAUCAAGAAAAAAGGCUGCAUGGAAAUCACGGAAAGCUACAGAAGAAAGUAUCGGCCAUUGUUUGAAAGCAUUGUGGCCUGUGAAGAUGGAAACCAGAACGGGGAUUUGCCUCCAAAUUUUAUAAGCUUCUAGAAACUCAAAUGAUGAGAAACAAAUGUGAAAAAAUCACAGAAGUAGUGGUUACUAAAAAAAAAAAAAUAAUUCUUAAAGCCCUGUUGCUUUUAUGAUGAACAGACCUGGUUAGAAGGAUAUUAAUUAUCUGGAAUACCAUCGUUUAAACAGGUGGAGAUAUUCCCAGUAUUUUUUGGUUGCCUCCUAGAUUAGUAUUAAACUUCUCAGUUGCUAACAAUGAAGUUAUCAGCCACUGGAACAAAUUAUUAAGAGGAACAGCGAGCUUACCAUUUCUUGAAGUCUUAGACAGAGUGGAUGGUAUGCUUUAGCAAACAAUGGAGACACAGCUGGGUGAAAUUAUAUGGUUGUACUAAAGAGCAGGGAACAUGAGAUAUUCUAUGUGGUCCUUCCUAGCCUUAAGAGCUAUGGAUCUAUAAUUUCACAAAUACCAUUACAAAGAACUCCUCAGAUGUAGUGAUGACCAUGGCAACAAUCUAAAUGCAACUCCUGAUUAUUCUAAAGUAUUUUGAGAAAUUACAGACCUAUAAUACAGUUUCUACAUGGCACUGUCACUACAUGGUCAUUUUACUAUCAUAAGGGGGCACUGUAAUUUUAUAACAUUAGAAAUCCCUUUUUGAGGACUAAAGAGACUCAUGCUCUCCCCGAAAGAGCUCAUUGUACUUCAGUUCAUUAACGAGCAUAUAAACAAGUAAGCAUGCAUACUGCUGCUUUCUUGAUACAUAUUUCAGCCAUUACAAUGAGAAAUAAGUAUGCAAGAUUCACUCCGUGAAAUAAAAAGCAAUCCACGCAGG